RNAcentral lists this ribosomal RNA (229 nucleotides) under uncultured Lactobacillus sp. RNAcentral's name for it is "partial 16S ribosomal RNA". It matches the Rfam family "Bacterial small subunit ribosomal RNA", at positions 134 to 356 of the family's 1533-position model. Lineage: Bacteria; Bacillati; Bacillota; Bacilli; Lactobacillales; Lactobacillaceae. The record is from RNAcentral.
UAGUCUGGGAUACCACUUGGAAACAGGUGCUAAUACCGGAUAAGAAAGCGGAUCGCAUGAUCAGCUUUUAAAAGGCGGCGUAAGCUGUCGCUAUGGGAUGGCCCCGCGGUGCAUUAGCUAGUUGGUAAGGUAAAGGCUUACCAAGGCGAUGAUGCAUAGCCGAGUUGAGAGACUGAUCGGCCACAUUGGGACUGAGACACGGCCCAAACUCCUACGGGAGGCAGCAGCG